GGACGCUCAUGAGGGUUUCGGCCCUUGUGGGAGUGGCGGACGGGUGAGUAGCGCGUGGGAACCUGCCCUCUUGUGGGGGAUAACCGAGGGAAACUUCGGCUAAUACCGCAUGCGCCCCUNGGGGGAGACCUUGGGGGGAAAGAUUUAUCGCAGGAGGAGGGGCCCGCGUCGGAUUAGGUAGUUGGUGGGGUAACGGCCUACCAAGCCUGUGAUCCGUAGCUGGUCUGAGAGGAUGAUCAGCCACACUGGGACUGAGACACGGCCCAGACUCCUACGGGAGGCAGCAGUGGGGAAUAUUGGACAAUGGGCGCAAGCCUGAUCCAGCAAUGCCGCGUGAGUGAUGAAGGCCUUAGGGUUGUAAAGCUCUUUCGGCGGGGACGAUGAUGACGGUACCCGCAGAAGAAGCCCCGGCUAACUUCGUG
This 422-nucleotide ribosomal RNA is filed under the name uncultured bacterium. Its description in RNAcentral is "bacterial SSU rRNA". It matches the Rfam family "Bacterial small subunit ribosomal RNA", at positions 64 to 507 of the family's 1533-position model. The record is from RNAcentral.